Molecule: non-coding RNA, 99 nt
Organism: Caerostris darwini
Lineage: Eukaryota; Metazoa; Arthropoda; Arachnida; Araneae; Araneidae
Source: the annotation of a GenBank genome assembly
ACGGCCGUACCAUGCUGAAUAUACCGGUUCUCGUUAGAUCACCGAAGUUAGGCAUCAUUCAGUACAUUGGGUGACCACCUGGGAACACCGCGUGCCGUU